Long non-coding RNA from Spinacia oleracea (spinach), 792 nucleotides. RefSeq lists it as uncharacterized. The record is from RefSeq and is a predicted model, not a curated record. The transcript has 5 exons. Lineage: Eukaryota; Viridiplantae; Streptophyta; Magnoliopsida; Caryophyllales; Amaranthaceae.
CCGAGUUCUCCACCGUCCUCCACCCCUCUGAAGGUUCAUUGUCGUUUGAGCGACUGUCAUGUUCUUCGUAUUCUCAAGCAAUCCUUAUUUCACUCUACGCAGUUUUUGUUAGAUUCUUCUCAAAUUUCACUGGGGUCCAGCUGAUCUCAAUUUGUUUUCCAUAAGUUUCCAGCAAGUGAUAGUUGGUGCUGAUAAAAGGAAUCUCACAAUGCUCUACAGGGGAGCCAUUAUCUAGGCCUCUUUUAUCUAACGAGAGUUGCCCCGUUGCUCUACCAGCAGUUAAGUCCAUAGCUCCAAAUCACAGUGUACUGGUUCUUCUAAACUGUGCAAGCUGGUUUCUUGGUGGAAUGCUGAUAGCCAGAACAAGGAUUCUGCUGCAUUAUUACAUCAAGCAUAUUGGUUAGCCUUACAUCAAGCAGAUUGGUUACUUUGGCUACUACAUGGGAAGUUAGGCAUAUCAGACUACAACAAUGCUCUUAAGGAGGUGCCCAACUCUGUGCCACGAAAUGGAUGCCUAUCCACCUUGGCUGCUCGUACAACCUUACUCGAGUGUUUUACCUUGUAUUGUAGCCCCGGCCAGGAUCUGCUAUAGCGAAUGUGAAAGAGGAUGUCAGACAAAAUUUUGGUUAAUCUUCUAAAAUUCUCAAACUGAAAACUGAAUGUGGAUGAGAAAUGACAGAUGAAUUUUGUCUUCAAAGAUAUUUGGAUGGUGUACUUGAUUCACAUUUUGGUUCGUUAGUUUUAGAAACCUGUAAAACAAUGUUAUUUAUUUAUCAUCCAAUACAAUUUUAU